Molecule: long non-coding RNA, 1731 nt
Organism: Anarrhichthys ocellatus (wolf-eel)
Lineage: Eukaryota; Metazoa; Chordata; Actinopteri; Perciformes; Anarhichadidae
Exons: 3
Source: RefSeq, a predicted model, not a curated record
UGUUCGGCCAUUGAAGGCGUGUGUCCUCUCAGCUGUGACAGCGCUGAUCUGAACUGUUUCCUGGUCGACAACAACGGCUUCGUCCUGAUCUCAAAAGAGAGGAACGAGGAGGCUCAUGAACAACAUCUGGAUGGCUCACUGGGUUUCAUGACAGUUCUGGUUUUAAUCUGUGUUCGUGGCGCAUUAGCGCUGAAAUAUAGCAGCUGCUGCACCUGAUGACCUCAUCUGACUGUGGGCGGGGCUUACACAGAGGGCGGAGCAACAUGUGGCUGCUUUGAUCCGUCUGAAAGAGUGAAUUUCAGUCGACGACAUUUAAUCAACCAAAAAAGUUACCAAAACCCAAACAGGUUAAGUUUAUCUGACUUAAUAUUGUGAUCUUCCUAAAUCUUUUUUGUUUACUUAUUAUCUCAUAAUCAGGACUAAGUAAUAAUUUAGACUCAAAAUCAAAUAGAAAAUAAUAACUCUUUUUUGUGAAAAAGGUAAAUACAAAUAAUAUUUUUUUACUGUGAAAAAUGAAGUAUAAAAUAUUUUUAUUUACUAUGUAGAAUUGUUAAAUAUAGUUAUUUAAUUUUGUCUUUUGUAACUUCACUAUAAUUUUACGUAUCUCAAUUAUUGUUGUAACUCAAAUGUAUAGUAUUUUUACAUAUUUUUUGUGUUUUUGUUGUUGGCCUUAAUGGGCUUCCGUACCUUGCUGUCACUUUGAGGACCUUUAAAGCGUCUGAGUGUAGAGACGAGCAGCCUGCUAUCCAUCUGACAGCUGCUCGUUAGCGCUGGAUUAACUCCUGUUAGGAGCCGUAUUACUGAGGAUUAAUGCAGACACACUCACACACUCUCUCUCUCUCUCACACACACACACACACACUUAUACAUCAUGAAUCUCUCUCUGGACCUUCGGCUUGUAGUUCUGUUGAGGACUUACCGGGAGUCGAACCUGUGAUGUCCGUGUCACAGGUCGGUGACCGUGACCUCAUCCGGCCUCCAGAUGUUGAGCAGCUGGAGGGCUGAUGAGGUUUAUCUGUGUCCUCUGUGAGGCUGUCGGGGACGUGCAGCUGGAGGACGGAGCACUCAGCGUCUCUCUUAUGUAACAGCAUGAGAGCUUUGUUGUGUCUGUGGGUCCAGUGACCCGUCGUUAGUCUGAGCUCCUGACGGGGAGCUGAGUAUCGUCUAAACUACUACCAGUACUUCAUUUCAUAACUUCUGUUUCUACUUCAUUCGAUACCAUCAUGUGAAGGAGGAGUUUUCAUCUAUGCCAUCGAGUCCCCUCCUCAUUCACAUAAUGUUACAUAGAAAUGAUCCUUCUUCAUAUUUUGCAUGUAUUCUGAUCAGAUGUGUAGCAGAGCCACGCUGCUUUAAACAGACUGGAUGAGUUGUAGCUGCUGCUGCAGAGGACCAAUCACAGGACACGUUCAACCAAACAACUCUUGCGGUGAUUUGCUGCAAACAAAAUCAGUCUUUUUGUUUUGUAUAUUGCACUUCUUAGUUGGAACACUAGAGGCCAUUUUAUUUUACUAAAUUAUUUUCUUUAUUUAUUUCUCAGUUUAUUGUGAUCAGAUGGACUCUCACUGAGCUCUCUCUUAUUGUUAUUGUCUUGUUUCUGCUGCUUUUGUCUCUCAGAGCUCUUUGUAAACUCUGUUUUUAAAAGGUGCUAUAAAUAAAGUUAUUAUUAUUAUUAUUUGGAAAAACUGCUUCACCCACAUUGAUUCCAAGUGGAUGAAAACAUUCUCCUCAGGU